GACGAACGCUGGCGGCGUGCUUAACACAUGCAAGUCGAACGGAAAGGCGCUGCUGGUGUGUGGUGCUCGAGGGGCGAACGGGUGAGUAACACGUGAGUAACCUGCCGUUGGCGGUGGGAUAACUUCAGGUAACGCGAGCUAAUACUGGAUAGGUGCCCGUGCUGCUUUUUUUGGGUUGUACAGUUUCUGCAGUUGGGGAUGGACUCGCGGCGUAUCAGCUUGUUGGUGGGGUAGUCGCUGACCAAGGCCUUGACCGGUAGCUGGCUUGUGAGGGUGACCGGCCAGCUUGGGACUGAGAUACGGACCACACUCAUACGGGCGGCAGGAGUGGGGAAUAUUGCACACUGGGCGGAAGCCUGCUGCAGGAACGCAGGGUGCGGGAUGACGGCCGUCGGGUUGUAAGCCGCUUUCGCCUGUGACGAACGGUGCGUGACGGUAAUGGGUAAAGAAGCACCGGCUAACUACGUG
This 468-nucleotide ribosomal RNA is filed under the name uncultured bacterium. RNAcentral describes it as "partial 16S ribosomal RNA". It matches the Rfam family "Bacterial small subunit ribosomal RNA", at positions 28 to 507 of the family's 1533-position model. The record is from RNAcentral.